AGUGAACGCUGGCGGUAGGCCUAACACAUGCCAGUCGAACGGCAGCACAGUAAGAGCUUGCUCUUACGGGUGGCGAGUGGCGGACGGGUGAGGAAUACAUCGGAAUCUACUUUUUCGUGGGGGAUAACGUAGGGAAACUUACGCUAAUACCGCAUACGACCUACGGGUGAAAGCAGGGGAUCUUCGGACCUUGCGCGAUUGAAUGAGCCGAUGUCGGAUUAGCUAGUUGGCGGGGUAAAGGCCCACCAAGGCGACGAUCCGUAGCUGGUCUGAGAGGAUGAUACGCCACACUGGAACUGAGACACGGUCCAGACUCCUACGGGAGGCAGCAGUGGGGAAUAUUGGACAAUGGGCGCAAGCCUGAUCCAGCCAUACCGCGUGGGUGAAGAAGGCCUUCGGGUUGUAAAGCCCUUUUGUUGGGAAAGAAAAGCAGCAGGUUAAUACCCCGCUGUUCUGACGGUACCCAAAGAAUAAGCACCGGCUAACUUCGUG
This 492-nucleotide ribosomal RNA is filed under the name uncultured bacterium. Its description in RNAcentral is "partial 16S ribosomal RNA". It matches the Rfam family "Bacterial small subunit ribosomal RNA", at positions 29 to 507 of the family's 1533-position model. The record is from RNAcentral.